AUUUCUGGUUGCCAAUUGUCAGGGUAAGAAAAUCAAGUACAGAUGUGGUGUAUGUCGGAGAUUUGGACACACUCGAAGUAGUUGUGAUUCAACAUUGGCCUUUCUUUAUAGGAGACACCCAUGGGAACCACCUGGAUUGGCUGUAAGUAUUGUCUACUACAUGUCUACUUCUAAGACUGCAAAAAUUGCUAUUGACUGUAAGUAAUGACCUCCUCAUUGUUUUGUUUAUAUCAGAGGCCUAAGAAGACUGCAAAGAUAUCUACUUCUAAAAGUGCUGCAAAGAGGGCUAAAAAGGCCUAGAUGACUACGGCAUGUUAUUGCAA
This 323-nucleotide long non-coding RNA is filed under the name Coffea arabica (coffee). RNAcentral's name for it is "long non-coding RNA (CARA_LNC001947)". The record is from RNAcentral. Lineage: Eukaryota; Viridiplantae; Streptophyta; Magnoliopsida; Gentianales; Rubiaceae.